GACGAACGCUGGCGGCGUGCCUAAUACAUGCAAGUAGAACGCUGAAGGAGGAGCUUGCUUCUCCGGAUGAGUUGCGAACGGGUGAGUAACGCGUAGGUAACCUGCCUGGUAGCGGGGGAUAACUAUUGGAAACGAUAGCUAAUACCGCAUAACAGUAGAUGUUGCAUGACAUUUGCUUAAAAGGUGCAAUUGCAUAACUACCAGAUGGACCUGCGUUGUAUUAGCUAGUAGGUGAGGUAACGGCUAACCAAGGCGACGAUACAUAGCCGACCUGGGAGGGGGAUCGGCCAAACUGGGACUGAGACACGGCCCAGACCCCCACGGGAGGCAGCAGUAGGGCAUCUUCGGCAAUGGACAGAAGUCUGAUCGAGCAACGCCGCGUGAGUGAAGAAGGUUUUCGGAUCGUAAAGCUCUGUUGUAAGAGAAGAACGAGUGUGAGAGUGGAAAGUUCACACUGUGACGGUAUCUUACCAGAAAGGGACGGCUAACUACGUG
This 495-nucleotide ribosomal RNA is filed under the name uncultured bacterium. RNAcentral's name for it is "partial 16S ribosomal RNA". It matches the Rfam family "Bacterial small subunit ribosomal RNA", at positions 28 to 507 of the family's 1533-position model. The record is from RNAcentral.